CUAAGAUGCAUAGAUCAAAAAUAUUAUUCAUACCAUCACUUAUUUUACUUCUGUGAUAAAAAUGGAAUCUACAUAUGUUAGUAGGUGAUGCCUAAUAUAAAUGAUGAAUAAAUAAAUUAUAAAUAUAGCAUUAUCCUGUACAGAUGUGAUUCUCUUUUGACGUUAGAUAAAGAGCCAUACACAUCCAUCAUUAGUCAAGUUGGAAAAAAGGAAAGAUGGAAACGAAAAGAGAAAGUUCAAAAAGCUAAUAUUCACAUAAAAAAAUAAAAAAUAAAAAAACUUAAAAGGUUAAAUCGAGAGGUAGGUAGGGUUAGGGCAGGGUAGUAACAGAAGAAAGGGCAAAAAAGGAAACGAAAAAUAGCCUUGGCCCUUCUUCUACGUCCCAAUUCCCAUAUAUAAAGGAGGGGUGUGCAGCAUCGGAGAACCCUAAAGACAUGGAAAAAGAGGGGUGGAAUAGGAAGGCGAUGAGGAGGUUUAUGGAGUGGAAGGGUAGGAAAGAAGCAACUUCUCUUUUUGGUCUCAAAUCCUAAAGAUCGAAUUUCUUUCCUAACCCUCCCAUUCCUUCAAUUUCCUAAAGUUUCUCUCUUUUCCUUUCCCCUCUUGCGGAUUUUAACACACAUACCAGCAAAUCGUUUGUUUGGUUGAGGGAGGAAGCGUGAGUGAAAAGAGAAAAUUAUGAAGUACGGGGAAAGAGAUGAGUUGCAUAAAUCUGUAAGAACAGGGAUUUUGGGAAGAACACGAAAUUAUUUCAAGAGCUAUCCCCAAAACUGCUUAUUCUAAUGACCCUCUGCAUCUGUUUCUCUUUCCCUUGCUUAUCCUCCAUCAGCUUCUCCUUCUGCUCUGAACUUGUCUGAUGUGAUCUCAUUUUCAUUUUUAUUGUUUGUCUUCCUUCGUUAAUAUAUGUCUUUUGCAGAUAGGAUUAUGUUCCCUCUUAUUCUCAUCAUUUUCCUACCCUUUCUCUCACAGAUUGUUUUUUGUGUUAUUCUGCUAAUUAAAAAAUUAACAUAAAAUAUUAACGUGACUUAAACGUAACCCUUCAAACCUUCAAAUAGAAGGGGAAGAAAAAUGAUAGAAAUUAGAAUGGGAGAAAAUUCUAUUCCAUCUUUAUUCGUUAUGCUUUUGGUUAUUAGUUACAUUUAUUUGGUAAAAUGGUUAUUAGUCACUUUGAUUUGCCCAUUUUGUGGAUUCAGUCAUCUUCUCUACGGUUCUUCUCUCGGAGUGUAGAAAUUUGUUCAUAGAGAACUAAAGUUGUAAUUUGCAGUAUUAAAGCUUAACUUUACGGCUGAUAGGCUUGCCGAAUUAGAUUUAAAUUGCUAAAUGAAUCUUCAUGAGCUUGCGGAGCUUCUUAAUAAGUUCAAACGCUUUCUAAUGACUGGUCUGAAUUUUCUAAUGCUAGACUAGUUAUUUUAAGUUUUGUACUUCUUUCAAUGUUACCUAAUAUUAGUAUUUUUUUUUGUUUGGAACCUUCUUGGAAAAGGUUUGGAUCAAGUUUAUUUUAAUAAAAAAUUAUGGUAUAAUUUUAUUUAAUGAAAAAUAUUUAAAUGUUAAUGAAAAAUUCUUAAAUUUUAAUAAAAAUGACAAAAGAACUUAAAUUUUAAUGAAAAAGAUAAAAUUUUAAUAUUAAAAAAAAUCUGAUGUGCUGACGCAUACGUUUUCACACUGUUUAUGAAAUUUACUGCACUAGUUAUAAAAAUUUAGGAUACUGUUUAUAAAACUUAUUAUACUACUAAUUCAAACGUGCCACGCAGAGUCUUCCAAAACAUGGACAUGGAUAUCAUCCUGGGUCGUCGUCACCUUCGGUGAUAACAAAAUCAGUAUGCGCUUUUGACAGGGUCAGAAAAGCAAGGAAAGCCUGUCGUAGUAAUAUUGGUGGGUGCGCCUGGAACCGGCAAGUCCACCUUCUGCGAACAUGUCAUGCGCUCCUCCUCCACUCUCCCUUGGUACACGUUUGCGGGAUACUAUAAAAAAUGGUAAAGCCGAAACGAAAGCGCAUUUUAUAGCAAGAACAAAAGGAUGUGAAGCUUGGUGGUAGUGCCCAGGUUGAUGUUCAUGAUGUGGUGCUUGAUCUUCCCGCCAAGCUUUGUAUUUCGUGGUCUGUGAAGGGAACGGGACAUGAAGGAAACUUACAAGGUGGGAGAGCUGAUGCGGUUGUGAAUAGAAUGAUCCAGAAGACAGAACUGUCUAAGCUGGGGGGUAGUAGUUGGUUAGAAGCGAAGUUGUUUGAUGGAGUUUUUGGACGCGCGCACAGAGAAUUUUUUUUUUUUUUUCCUUUCUUUUAUGUUUUUGUUCUUAUUAUUAAAUAAAGUUUGUGUAUGGUUUUUUAUUAAAAUGCAAAGAUUUAAAAUC
Pyrus x bretschneideri (Chinese white pear) is the source of this 2346-nucleotide long non-coding RNA. RefSeq lists it as uncharacterized. NCBI's taxonomy places the organism in Eukaryota, Viridiplantae, Streptophyta, Magnoliopsida, Rosales, Rosaceae. The transcript is spliced from 2 exons. The record is from RefSeq and is a predicted model, not a curated record.